AGAGUUUGAUCCUGGCUCAGGACGAACGCUGGCGGCGUGCUUAACACAUGCAAGUCGAGCGGAAAGGCCCUUUCGGGGGUACUCGAGCGGCGAACGGGUGAGUAACACGUGAGUAAUCUGCCCUUCACUUGGGGAUAACCACCGGAAACGGUGGCUAAUACCCGAUAUGACAGUUGCCCGCAUGGGUGGUUGUGGAAAGUUUUUUCGGUGGGGGAUGUGCUCGCGGCCUAUCAGCUUGUUGGUGGGGUAAUGGCCUACCAAGGCUUCGACGGGUAGCCGGCCUGAGAGGGUGACCGGCCACACUGGGACUGAGACACGGCCCAGACUCCUACGGGAGGCAGCAGUGGGGAAUAUUGGACAAUGGGCGGAAGCCUGAUCCAGCAACGCCGCGUGAGGGAUGACGGCCUUCGGGUUGUAAACCUCUUUCACCGAUGACGAAGCGUGAGUGACGGUAGUCGGAGAAGAAGCACCGGCCAACUACGUGCCAGCAGCCGCGGUAAUACGUAGGGUGCGAGCGUUGUCCGGAAUUAUUGGGCGUAAAGGGCUCGUAGGCGGUUUGUCGCGUCGGGAGUGAAAACCCAGGGCUUAACCCUGGGCUGGCUUUCGAUACGGGCAGACUAGAGGUAUGCAGGGGAGAACGGAAUUCCUGGUGUAGCGGUGAAAUGCGCAGAUAUCAGGAGGAACACCGGUGGCGAAGGCGGUUCUCUGGGCAUUACCUGACGCUGAGGAGCGAAAGUGUGGGGAGCGAACAGGAUUAGAUACCCUGGUAGUCCACACCGUAAACGUUGGGCGCUAGGUGUGGGGUCCAUUCCACGGAUUCCGUGCCGCAGCUAACGCAUUAAGCGCCCCGCCUGGGGAGUACGGCCGCAAGGCUAAAACUCAAAGGAAUUGACGG
RNAcentral lists this ribosomal RNA (895 nucleotides) under uncultured soil bacterium. RNAcentral's name for it is "bacterial SSU rRNA". It matches the Rfam family "Bacterial small subunit ribosomal RNA", at positions 8 to 916 of the family's 1533-position model. The record is from RNAcentral.